GUUAUUCUCCAUUGGCUGUUAUAAUGCGCUCCACUCUUCCACAAAGUCUUUCAGCUAGGUUUUGGGGCGUGGCUGUGGGGAUGUGUGCUCAUUCAGCUACAAGAGCGCUAGUGAGGAUGAGGUCAGGCUCCGAUGUCGAGGAGGCUCCGGUUCCAGUUCAUCCCCGAGGUGUUCAGUGGGGUCGAGGUCAGGGCUCUGUGCAGGAUACUCGAGAUCUUCCACCUUCUUCCAACCUUAACACACCACGUCUUCACGGAGCUCGCUUUGUGCACAGGGACGCGCGUCGUCAUGCUGGACUUGUAAUGCUACAGCAUACGAACACGGGUGUGACGGGCAGCUGUCCACAAACAUUUGGCCAGAGAACUAAUCCCUGGCCCUAACGCACAAACAGAUCCCAGUCUCUCCCAGUCUGCAGUGAUUAUAACCUUAUGCCGAAACACUCGUCCAUUCAUUCAUACACUUUCAGCAAACUCAGAGGGGACACAUCCCGGAAGACACACGACUCCAUCUCCAUCUCCCACACUCACACUCAUUCACACCUACGAGCGGUUUAGAGUCACCAAUCCACCUACAGGUGUGUUUCUGGACACUGGGAGGAAACCGGAGAACCCAGAUGAAGCCCAUAUGGACACCAGGAGAACAUGAGGAACUUCUCACGGACAGUAACCCGAGCUCAGGACACUGGAGCUGUGAGGCGUCUCCUCUUACUCAUAAUCAGGUUGAACGCACAGAUUACAGCGUCAACAGACACGGGCAGCGUGACCGCUGAGAGAGACGGGGGUGAUCAGGGUGAACGGGAUUAGUGCUGAAGCAGCAGUGAGACAAAGCGCAGAUCAUCUAAACACCUCUACAGAAGGCGUGUGGAACUCUCUCCAGGACACAGUGGCUUCAGGGAAGGCUCUCGAUGUUUACAAGCGUAUGUUCUUUAGAUUUACGUCGGUUACAUCAUUCCUUUUGGUCGAAAAUAAAGAACGUUUAACAACAAAGCUUUUCAUUUCCAUUGAUGUUGCACCGGCAAAAUGUAUAUCUUUGAAAAUUGUAAAAAUA
Ictalurus punctatus (channel catfish) is the source of this 1047-nucleotide long non-coding RNA. RefSeq lists it as uncharacterized. The record is from RefSeq and is a predicted model, not a curated record. The transcript has 3 exons. NCBI's taxonomy places the organism in Eukaryota, Metazoa, Chordata, Actinopteri, Siluriformes, Ictaluridae.